GACGUAGGGUGCGAGCGUUGUCCGGAUUUAUUGGGCGUAAAGCGCGCGCAGGCGGCCUCGCGCGCCCGACGUGAAAGCCCCCGGCUUAACCGGGGAGGGUCGUUGGGGACGGCGGGGCUUGAGGGCGGGAGAGGUCGGUGGAAUUCCCGGUGUAGUGGUGAAAUGCGUAGAGAUCGGGAGGAACACCUGUGGCGAAGGCGGCCGACUGGGCCGACCCUGACGCUGAGGCGCGAAGGCGUGGGGAGCGAACGGG
This 253-nucleotide ribosomal RNA is filed under the name uncultured bacterium. RNAcentral's name for it is "partial 16S ribosomal RNA". It matches the Rfam family "Bacterial small subunit ribosomal RNA", at positions 524 to 776 of the family's 1533-position model. The record is from RNAcentral.